UGUCCCUGUGCUCAAUAAAGGGUAUUUGGCUAGUGAGACCCAUCUCAUUGUAGCCAGGGGCAAAGCCAUUCUUUGUUCACCCAGGCAUAGCUUUUGGUCUGUGCUCUUGCCUUGCUCAAGCCCUGGAAGCAGAA
Sorex araneus (European shrew) is the source of this 134-nucleotide small nucleolar RNA. Lineage: Eukaryota; Metazoa; Chordata; Mammalia; Eulipotyphla; Soricidae. The record is from Ensembl.